Mus caroli (Ryukyu mouse) is the source of this 313-nucleotide long non-coding RNA. RefSeq lists it as uncharacterized. Lineage: Eukaryota; Metazoa; Chordata; Mammalia; Rodentia; Muridae. The record is from RefSeq and is a predicted model, not a curated record.
AUGUUGGCCAUGACUCACUGUGCACAUCAUACUUACCCACUAAGGGGACACACAUGAUAACCCCCAGCCCACAACUCCUAGCAAGGAGCCUCAUGCAAAAGAAUUACUCGGUUCUAGAGAGCCAAAACUGACCGGAGAUCAGCUCAAAGUACUGCUUCCAGGAGACGAUGCCAAGAAAGGCUACGAAUGAGCAAAAUGGGAAUGCAUGAACGAAAGAAAAACUUAGAAAAAUUGAAAACAGCCCAGAAGCCUCAAAUUAUGAAACUAUAAUCACGUCCCUCUGCCGCAAUCCCAUCACUCCCACCAACACAGA